AGACGUGAAUACCCGCUGAACUUAAGCAUAUCACUAA
RNAcentral lists this ribosomal RNA (37 nucleotides) under Transversotrema borboleta. RNAcentral's name for it is "partial 28S ribosomal RNA". Lineage: Eukaryota; Metazoa; Platyhelminthes; Trematoda; Azygiida; Transversotrematidae. The record is from RNAcentral.